RNAcentral lists this ribosomal RNA (432 nucleotides) under uncultured bacterium. RNAcentral's name for it is "bacterial SSU rRNA". It matches the Rfam family "Bacterial small subunit ribosomal RNA", at positions 958 to 1392 of the family's 1533-position model. The record is from RNAcentral.
AACGCGAAGAACCUUACCUGGGCUUGACAUGCAGGGCAAAGCCGGUGAAAGCCGGCGCUCUACGGAGCCUGCACAGGUGGUGCAUGGCUGUCGUCAGCUCGUGCCGUGAGGUGUUGCCUUAAGUGGCGCAACGAGCGCAACCCUUGUCCUUAGUUGCCAGCGGGUAAAGCCGGGAACUCUAGGGAGACUGCCGGUGCCAAACCGGAGGAAGGUGGGGAUGACGUCAAGUCAUCAUGCCCCUUAUGUCCAGGGCUGCACGCAUGCUACAAUGCGCGGUACAAAGGGCUGCGAUCCCGCAAGGGGGAGCGAAUCCCAAAAAGCCGCGCUCAGUUCGGAUCGGGGUCUGCAACCCGACCCCGUGAAGUCGGAGCCGCCAGUAAUCGCAGAUCAGCAAUGCUGCGGUGAAUACGUUCCCGGGCCUUGUACACACCG